GAAAUGAGGGCUUCCACUGAUCAUUUCUCUGUCACUCCAGCAUUUCUUCAGGUUAAGAAGCAGAAACAUUACUUAAGUGACACUCUAGAGAUGAAGUGUUCUCCAGGGAUCGUGAUUGUCCUAUUCUUAAUGCUUGGACAAAUCCAUGGAAACUCAGUGAACCAGACUGAAGGCCAGGUGACCGUCUCAGAAGAGGCUUCCUUGACAAUGAAUUGUACUUACUGAAUGUCAGGGUACCCUGUCCUUUUCUGGUGUGUCAGUAUCUGGGGAAUGGUCCACAGCUCCUCCUGAAAGCAUCAGGAGACAAGGAGAAGGGAAGUAACAAAGGGUUUGAAGCCACUUUGGACAGCUCAUCCAAAUCCUUCCACUUGAAGAAAGGCUCACUGCACGUGUCAGACUCAGCUGUGUACUACUGUGUCAUGAGUGACACAGUGACGGGGACUGUAGGGGGAGCUGAGUGCAAACUCUGAGCAGAGCAGGGCCUGGAUGCUGAGCCUCUCUGACUGAUCCACUCUGGUUCCAGCGCAGUCAGUGGUUGUUAGUUCCUCAGCAUCUGGUUGAUACAAAGUCAUACAAAAGGCUAGAGCCUAGGAACCAAGAUAAUACUCUCCACCUGACUAUUCACUGGUGACUUUGACAACAGUUGGAUGACCGUUGUUCCUCAGCCAGGGUGUAAACAAUUUCUAGAUAAAGCCAGAUAACAAUGAAGUGGUCUUUUGCUCAUCCUUGCAGUGAAAUUCCAGCCCCACAAGUUGUUCAGCCACUCUGGUGCGUUGACACUUUUAGAGGAACUCAGUGUGCCUGAGAAGGUGGCUUCUGCCCAGUGUGCCUAUGACAGAGUAUGUAUGACAGGAGGGGAAUGGGAGAGCUUUAGCCCCCAAACCAGGUUUUAGGAGAGAAAGAAGGGAAGGGAAGAAAGGAGGAGAAGCAGUAUACCUGAGCAAGGAAAAGAGCGGCCAGGGACCUCUGCCUGCUUUCUUCUCUAAUAAGUCAGGUGUCAGACAUGGACUGAUAUUCAAAAUGAAGGCAUGGGUACAGAAAUAUAAUGGAGGAAGUGGCUCAUAUCUAAAUCACAAACUGUGCCCCUCAUUCCAUCUUGGUAAGUACAUAAAUCAUUAACCUACUAACAAGAAGGCCUUGAGUGAGAUGGUCUUCCAGUGCCAAGGGAAGUUGUGGCGUACAUAUUCCU
This 1189-nucleotide long non-coding RNA is filed under the name Canis lupus familiaris (dog). RNAcentral's name for it is "lncRNA (ENSCAFG00845022867.1)". The record is from RNAcentral. Lineage: Eukaryota; Metazoa; Chordata; Mammalia; Carnivora; Canidae.